Zingiber officinale is the source of this 1852-nucleotide RNA transcript. It is a transcript of the gene named tubulin-folding cofactor B-like, with no coding region annotated. The record is from RefSeq and is a predicted model, not a curated record. The transcript has 7 exons. Lineage: Eukaryota; Viridiplantae; Streptophyta; Magnoliopsida; Zingiberales; Zingiberaceae.
AGGAUAUUAAUGCAAGUUUUCCAAAAGGGUAAAGGAAGGGAGACGACGGCCGCAGCGCGUCUGCGUCGGCGGAGUGCGUACCAGAGCUCGGCAAUGGCUUCUCGUCUUCAGCUACCAGGCGACGACUCGGUGCUCCUGAGAGUCACCCACUCGAACAUCAAGAGCUUCUCCGCAGACGUCCGCUUCUCGCCCGAGAUGUCCGUGGAAUCCAUCAAGGAUAAGUUGUGGAAGAAGUGUGGUACUGCGGUCGAUUCCAUGCUCCUCGAACUCUACGACGCCGCCGGAUCCAAAGUCGUUGACCUCAACGACGCUACGAGGUCAUUCGGUUUCUACUCUCCUCAGGACGGGUACCGUUUGCAUAUUAUUGAUCUUGAUCCUUCUUCAGUAACCUCUGGUGGCUGGUUGGAAGACACUUCAUUGGUUGAGAAAUAUAAAAUUUCAGAAGAAGCUUACAAUAAGCUUGAUAACAACUUUAGGAAGUUCAAAGAAAAAAUCACAGCUCAAAAUCCAGUGGCUAAAGAAGGAAAGCUAUCUGAGAAUUACAUGGAAGACCUAUGUGCAAAUAUCAAGGUUAGUUGCUGUUACUUUCCUGUUGUUCAGCAUUUCUAUUAUGUACCUGUUAUAAUGUUUAUGUUUUACAGAGAAUAUGGAAAUUAUUUCCAUGUAUCUGUCUCAUAUGAUAGAUAUGCAUCUCUUAUGUAGGGAACACAAUGAAAACCAGAUGCACUAAUACUCAAUCUUGGAUGUGAAAUAUAACUUCACCUUCUAAGCCCAUUAUUAUGCAACUACAAUGUGGAUUCUAAAUGAUUUUACAAGUGGUUAUGUCCAUUACAACAUUUGAGAAACUGGUUGCCUACUAUGUUUUAUAGCUAUUCUUAAUAAGGUUUUGCAUGAUUAUAACUACGCCAUUGUGUAAUCGAAAGUAUGAUAAAAUUCAGAAAGAUACAGAUAGAUCUUGAUGAUUUUUAGGGAAUAGUUCAUUUUUUUUUCCUUAAACCAUUCUAUCUUACCCCCACCAAUAGUAUUGCCUGGUCAAAGUCAUGGUUAAUAUUAACCCCAAAAGGCAUUCUCUUCUCAAUAGAAGCAUGGCAUGAAGGAUCAGAGGUAGGAGCCCUUACCCUCAGCCUUUAGUUCAUCUCUGUAUAGUCAGCCUCUAUAACAUGUACCCCAUCAUGUGUGUUGAUACCACAAUCAUCUAGAGCUUCAUAGUAUUCACCUCCGAUAUGCACACCUCCCCCCUACAAAGGCAACUACCUGCACUCACAACCAAGUUUGUGGAGGUGUGCUGCUUGAUCCAGAUAUCCAGUACCACAGGCUUCCCCACAACUCAUACUUUUCCUGCCAGUAACACUUUGCACAUGAUCAACUACAUGGUAGUGAUGCAUAAAAGCGGUCUUUUCCUCCCUUGCAUCCUUCCAUUGUUGCUUCCUCGGCAGCUCUCUCUUUACCUCUCUUUCUUUUUCUUUGCUAAAACCAAAUCUGAAGUCAUGCAAUAAACCAGGGAAGUCAUGAGUGCUGGAGGCCCUAGUAGUAGAUUUUGUCAUCCUGGAGCUAAAAUUUGUCAUGCAGGACCCCGCAUAGCGGGAGCUUCAUGCACCGGGCUGCCCUUUUUAUGCACAAAUUACCAAUUCGAGAAAAAGUCACAUUCCCUUGAUCCUACUUCCCUUCUUCAGUAAUUUAAGCAUAUGAUCUAUUGUAGCAAUGAACUAUUUUCAAGGUAGGGGAUAGAUGUCAAGUUGAUCCUGGCGAGAAAAGGGGAGUUGUCAAAUUUGUUGGAAGAGCUGAAGAUCUAGGACCUGGUUUUUGGGUUGGAAUUCAGUAUGAUGAACCUCUAGGAAAGCACGAUGGCUUG